This 377-nucleotide long non-coding RNA is filed under the name Eucalyptus grandis. RNAcentral describes it as "long non-coding RNA (EGRA_LNC006778)". The record is from RNAcentral. Lineage: Eukaryota; Viridiplantae; Streptophyta; Magnoliopsida; Myrtales; Myrtaceae.
UCCUCUGAUGUUCUGUAUAUGCAGAAUGCUGCAAAACACAUUGUUGUAUUUCCUAUCACGGUCAGCGCUGCUUGAAGAGCCACCGAUACCUAUAGAAAAUAGAGACACCUUACACUCAGUAAUGAUUUCAAUGUUUAAACAACUCUCAUUCAACAUGAAAACCGAGAUAAUACCUCCAGGGAUUCAGAGUUAUAAAAGAAAUGCCAUGUGCAUGCACAAAAUGCUCCACCAAGCAACAGUAUCUAAAUCAUCACAGCAAAAGAUUUUACGAUUACAUGGUAAAUACAGAUGAAAUAAGAAACGAGAUUAUUGCAGAAGUAAGACUUGUCGCGACCUCUUUUUUUCCGGCGCCCGCAAUCGGGUACGAACGCCUAAGG